RNAcentral lists this small nuclear RNA (183 nucleotides) under Homo sapiens (human). RNAcentral describes it as "7SK RNA". It matches the Rfam family "7SK RNA", at positions 1 to 258 of the family's 331-position model. From Rfam's summary of the family: 7SK was discovered as an abundant small nuclear RNA in the mid-70s but a possible function has only recently been suggested. Lineage: Eukaryota; Metazoa; Chordata; Mammalia; Primates; Hominidae. The record is from Rfam by way of RNAcentral.
GAAUGUAAAGGCUAUCUGGCUGCGACAUCUGUCACCUCAUUGAUCGCCAGGGUUGACACGGCUGAUCUGGCUGGCUAGGUAGGUGUCCCCUUUCUCCCUCACCGCAGCUUCAGGAGGGAUGCUCCUGGAGCUGUGCUGCCCUGCUAGAACCUCAAAACAAGCUCUCAAGAAAAAAAAAAAAAA